Long non-coding RNA from Scatophagus argus, 2057 nucleotides. RefSeq lists it as uncharacterized. Lineage: Eukaryota; Metazoa; Chordata; Actinopteri; Scatophagidae. The record is from RefSeq and is a predicted model, not a curated record. The transcript has 2 exons.
AAGUGCCAAUAAAAAGAGCUGGAAUCAAAGUCAAAGUCAAAGAAAACACGUGACCCUAAAAGUUGCCAGUAGCCUUUGAGAGGCAGUGAGUGAAAACAUUUUCUCCGGUCUGUUUUAGCUUCUGGCUGAUCUUGAACGCAUCAACAGUGUACUUUAAAGGCAAACCACAGAGACUGUGGUACUGAUGUCCUCUUACUUACACUGUUUCCCACAUGCAGAUUUAGUCUGAGCUUGUUUCCAGAUGGCCUCGUGACAUCCACAACUGGCAAAACCACAGAGGUGCCAUCGUGAGAACGCUGAAGUGGACGUCCUCCAGUGCUCAGCUGUUCGCCUCCCAAAGCUUCAGGCCUUCAGUCCUGCUACAGCCUUGUUCAGAGCGUUAGAGCGUUACUGUUAAGAGCCGCCGCACUGGACAACACCGUUGUCUUUGGGGAAGAGUUGCAUGAUGGGAUAAAGGCGAUCUUUUGGGACAAAACAGUGAUGUGAAAUUUCCCAGAGCUGUCAAGAGAUCAACGGAGCUGAGCCUGAGAUCCAGCAGAACAAGGACAAAAUGUUUUGGAGAAAAAUGCAGCUCUCAUCUGAAGCGCCAACACCGUCAUUGCUCUGCUCACUGCCCACGCACCAAAUCGAACUAUUUUUACUGUGAUGUUAGCAUUACAGGCCCAGUCUGUAGCAUUGUAGGAAAGCAAAUAUAAUAUUUAUAGUCAUGUUUUAAGUGUAUAAUCACUCGAAAACAAGAAAUAGUUGUAGAAAUAUGGGAAGACCACCAUGUGACGUUGCUGCAUUUCUACGGUAUCCCAGAAUGGACAAACCAAACACUGGCUCUAGAGAGGAACGUUCACAGUUUUCAUGAUUUGGCGAGAUGUUAAGCGUUCAGCUGGUUGAAACCACACUGGAUGUUGCUGAUAUUUUCAUGUAUUUUACCGCCGGUUUUCCCAGGCCAUAACUCUGUGAUGACACCUGAGGGUGUGGCUAACACUUGGAACAAUCACUGGGGCCACACCUUAGAUACGACGUCCUGAUGUCAGGACGUCAGGUGAUUUCUGACAGCCUGCAGAGGAAGUUCAGAGAGGCAGUGUAAGCUGCUGCAGCUUGUGUGUUACCGCCGCCACCCUGUGGUGAGGAUGAGACACUGCAGGACUACACUCUGCUGAUGUUCAGUUUUUCAUGUCACUUAUUUCUAACACUGAGUUGAUAUUAACAAGAAAGAAAGACAGCAAAUCACUUUCAUAGGUAAAACAAAUGCUGAUAUCCUGUUAGCUUCAUGUAAAGACUCAAGUUUGUCUGGGAAUAGUUUGGUAUAGUCUCUUUGUUUAUUGUGUUGCCUUUAAAGGUCAGAUCCUGUCUUUCAAAUAUCCAUCUUUACAUUUAGAUUUUUCUUCCUCUCUGUUAUGAAAAGAAAUCUCUGCUGCAAAUAUGCUGUGAAUCAUCUGACAGAUGUCAGCAGGAGGACCAGAGAGAAGAUGGGAGACAAAGAGAAGUAAUGUCAUUAACAGAGAAGAAACAUGUUUUCAUGGUGGAGGGAAGCUUCGUGCUGCUGGGUGAAAGGCAGAUCAGCUCACAGCUCAGAGAUUCCUGAUUCUGGCAGCAGCAUCCUGUUGGCAUUUCUACCACCACCAGUCAACAGAGAGCGUAACCAUCCAUCAACAUGGCAAACAAACACACACUGCAACAUGCCAAACAGUGAGGCCCCAAACUGAAGAUCAUUUAAAUCGUUUUUCCUCGUUAAAACGACGCACCACAUGACUUCAGUCACUGCUGACCCACACGGCAGCCGUCGGUGUGUCUCGUAGCGGGAGGUGGACAGUCGGGAGACAUCAGCACUUCUAUCUAUUCGUCUGUGAAGGACUGUUUGAAGACUUCAUCUGUCCCUCCUGCGGCUGAGAUGUCAUGUCUCACGGCGUGUGUCCCUGCAGCUGGACACACGGCCUGCACGUGUUUUGUCCCAUUUGUCCCACAAUAAUUUACAGAGAAGAUUGAAACUUUUCUAUCAUUUCUCAUCAUGUCACUGUCGAUUUGAAUGUACAUAAAAUAAAAAAUAAAAUGUUUUAUUAUUG